RNAcentral lists this ribosomal RNA (446 nucleotides) under uncultured bacterium. RNAcentral's name for it is "partial 16S ribosomal RNA". It matches the Rfam family "Bacterial small subunit ribosomal RNA", at positions 338 to 795 of the family's 1533-position model. The record is from RNAcentral.
CCUACGGGGGGCAGCAGUCGAGAAUCAUUCACAAUGGGGGAAACCCUGAUGGUGCGACGCCGCGUGGGGGAAUGAAGGUCUUCGGAUUGUAAACCCCUGUCAUGUGGGCGCAAAUUAAAAAGAUAGUACCACAAGAGGAAGAGACGGCUAACUCUGUGCCAGCAGCCGCGGUAAUACAGAGGUCUCAAGCGUUGUUCGGAAUCACUGGGCGUAAAGCGAGCGUAGGCUGUUUCGUAAGUCGGGUGUGAAAGGCGCGGGCUCAACCCGCGGACGGCACAUGAUACUGCGAGACUAGAGUGAUGGAGGGGGAACCGGAAUUCUCGGUGUAGCAGUGAAAUGCGUAGAUAUCGGGAGGAACACUCGUGGCGAAGGCGGGUUCCUGGACAUUAACUGACGCUGAGGCACGAAGGCCAGGGGAGCGAAAGGGAUUAGAUACCCGAGUAGUC